CAUCUCAUACCAUUGGAAUGAAAGGAUGAAGCAAUGGGCUUGUGCCUUGUCACCAAGGUGCAAAGACAAGGCCACCAGUCUCAACAGGACCCCCAGCCCAGCCCCAAUGGACCCUCACCUCCUCUGAAGCAGACAAAAUGAUGACAAAGGUCUGAGCGAGGUCUGCAGGACCUGGUAUUUGGUGGAACCAUGAAAUGAAGAGAGGCAAACCAUGGCUGCAUCUACAUCGUGCUUGUUAAAUUAAUCUUACCAAAUAAAAAGAUCAACAGGCCAUUCCCCA
Coturnix japonica (Japanese quail) is the source of this 280-nucleotide long non-coding RNA. The record is from Ensembl. NCBI's taxonomy places the organism in Eukaryota, Metazoa, Chordata, Aves, Galliformes, Phasianidae.